Molecule: ribosomal RNA, 514 nt
Filed under: Acanthamoeba jacobsi
Lineage: Eukaryota; Discosea; Longamoebia; Acanthamoebidae
Description: partial 18S ribosomal RNA
Rfam family: Eukaryotic small subunit ribosomal RNA (bases 1-342)
Source: RNAcentral
UUAGUGUUCACGCAUGCAGACUAUAUCUUCUGCCACCGAAUACAUUAGCAUGGGAUAAUGGAAUAGGACCCUGUCCUCCUAUUUUACCUGGUGGUGUUUUAGGAGGGGGUAAGGAUUAAUAAGGAUAGAUGGUUGGGUUAAUAUUUAAUUGGUGACGUAAAAUUCAUGGAUGUAUGAAAGAUAGACUUCUUUCUAAGAAUCCGUCAACGAUGUUUUUUUUCAUCAAGAACGAAAGAUAGGGGAUGGAUCAAGAACAAAGAACCACCUAGUUUUACCCAUGUAGCAGGGCGACCACCCAUUACGGAACAUACGAUAAAAAACACAUCCCAUCAUCUUGGGCUUGCUCUGGAUACCUGUUGGAGUGGGACUAAGUCCUUUUCGCAUGGCUCGGUUUGCUAGCGCCAUUUGAUCAGUGGUUCGUACGGCUUUCCCCCGCUGUAAGGCUUUCGGGAAAAUGGAUGAUAUGGUAUUGGGGGCCAAGUCUGUAAACAUCAUGAGACUUUUAACAGAAACA